This 698-nucleotide ribosomal RNA is filed under the name uncultured Glomeromycotina. RNAcentral's name for it is "SSU rRNA". It matches the Rfam family "Eukaryotic small subunit ribosomal RNA", at positions 363 to 1065 of the family's 1831-position model. The record is from RNAcentral. Lineage: Eukaryota; Fungi; Glomeromycota.
CGGGGUGUUAGGGCACGACACCGGAGAGGGAGCCUGAGAAACGGCUACCACAUCCAAGGAUGGCAGCAGGCGCGCAAAUUACCCAAUCCCGACAUGGGGAGGUAGUGACAAUAAAUAACAAUACGGGGUUCUUUUGGAUCUUGUAAUUGGAAUGAGUACAAUUUAAAUCUCUUAACGAGGAACAAUUGGAGGGCAAGUCUGGUGCCAGCAGCCGCGAUAAUUCCAGCUCCAAUAGCGUAUAUUAAAGUUGUUGCAGUUAAAAAGCUCGUAGUUGAAUUUCGGGAUUAAUAUGCUGGUCGUGCCAUUGGUACGUACUAGUAUUAUUGAUUUCUCCCUUCUGAUAAAUCAUGAUGUCAUUAAUUUGAUGUCAUGGGGAAUCAGGACCGUUACUUUGAAAAAAUUAGAGUGUUUAAAGCAGGCUCGCGCUUGAAUACAUUAGCAUGGAAUAAUGAAAUAGGACGUUUGAUUCUAUUUUGUUGGUUUCUAGGAUCGACGUAAUGAUUAAUAGGGAUAGUUGGGGGCAUUAGUAUUCAAUUGUCAGAGGUGAAAUUCUUGGAUUUAUUGAAGACUAACUACUGCGAAAGCAUUUGCCAAGGAUGUUUUCAUUAAUCAAGAACGAAAGUUAGGGGAUCGAAGACGAUCAGAUACCGUCGUAGUCUUAACCAUAAACUAUGCCGACUAGGGAUCGGAUGAUGUUA